CCUACGGGCGGCAGCAGUGAGGAAUAUUGGUCAAUGGACGCAAGUCUGAACCAGCCAUGCCGCGUGCAGGAAGACGGCCCUAUGAGUUGUAAACUGCUUUUGUAAGAGGGUAAACGCAGAUACGCGUAUCCUUCUGAAAGUAUCGUACGAAUAAGGAUCGGCCAACUCCGUGCCAGCAGCCGCGGUAAUACGGAGGAUUCAAGCGUUAUCCGGAUUUAUUGGGUUUAAAGGGGGCGUAGGCGGUCGGCUAAGUUAGAGGUGAAAUCCCGGGGCUCAACUUCGGAAUUGCCUCUGAUACUGGUAGGCUAGAGAGUAGUUGAGGUAGGCAGAAUGUAUGGUGUAGCGGUGAAAUGCGUAGAGAUC
Molecule: ribosomal RNA, 363 nt
Filed under: uncultured bacterium
Lineage: Bacteria
Description: partial 16S ribosomal RNA
Rfam family: Bacterial small subunit ribosomal RNA
Source: RNAcentral